UGUGACUGGUGCUGAUGGCUGCCCCAAUUUCAGCCUGUUCAAGCCUCAGGGCACAGUGAGAUGUCAAUGUAGUGAUCAGCGUUCCCUGGUGGACUUUUCUGGACCUUGGGCCCACCUAAUGGUGCCAAGUUUCGGUGUCACAGAGGGCUGUGUCUGCAUAUGGGGUAGGAUAAGGAAUAAUUACCAUAUAAUUAUGAUCCAGGUAAAUGCUGCAGCCAACACAUGCCUGAGAAAGAGGGGUUCGUGGAGGGGAAAAGGGAAAUGGGAUUUUUAAAUUAGAGAUGGGUGGUCCUGGUGAUCAUACACUGAGCUGAAGAUCUGAAUUUACAUCCUUGUUAAUAUCUGGAGGGACUGUGACAGCCUGGGGGAGUGGACAGCAAGCCAUAGAUAAGGGGAGCGUGUGCAGUGGCUGCUGCAGCACCACUUCAGCAGGCCCUUUUGAAGUGCUGGAGCAGCGCUUUAGCAGCUGUUGUGAGAGCGGAAGAGCUGACACCGAUGCGGCUUUGGGACACGGCCACCAGGCGCAGCGGGUCUGCUCUGAAGAGAAGGUGGAGAGAAGAGGACAAAAGCUGAUGGUGGUGGAAGAGGCUUGCCCAUCCUGCCUUACACCCCUUUCCUGUCCCUUAGUACCUGUAGAGAACAGUCCAGGCAAGAGAACUGGAGCACUCAUCUAAGACUCCUCCAACAAGCAGCUUUCU
RNAcentral lists this long non-coding RNA (698 nucleotides) under Anser brachyrhynchus (Pink-footed goose). RNAcentral's name for it is "lncRNA (ENSABRG00000020172.1)". The record is from RNAcentral. Lineage: Eukaryota; Metazoa; Chordata; Aves; Anseriformes; Anatidae.